GACGUAGGUGGCGAACGUUAUCCGGAAUUAUUGGGCGUAAAGGGUGCGUAGGUGGCCUGACAAGUUAUCAGUGGCAAAUCGAGGCUCAACCUCGUGGAAACUGGUAAUACUGUCUGGCUUGAGUACAGGAGAGGUUAACGGAACUCUAUGUGGAGCGGUAAAAUGCACAGAUAUAUAGAAGAACAUCAAAAAAGGCGAAGGCAGUUAACUAUUCUGUUACUGACGCUGAGGCACGAAAGCGUGGGGAGCAAAACGG
This 256-nucleotide ribosomal RNA is filed under the name uncultured bacterium. Its description in RNAcentral is "partial 16S ribosomal RNA". It matches the Rfam family "Bacterial small subunit ribosomal RNA", at positions 524 to 776 of the family's 1533-position model. The record is from RNAcentral.